This 253-nucleotide ribosomal RNA is filed under the name uncultured bacterium. RNAcentral's name for it is "partial 16S ribosomal RNA". It matches the Rfam family "Bacterial small subunit ribosomal RNA", at positions 524 to 776 of the family's 1533-position model. The record is from RNAcentral.
UACAGAGGGUGCAAGCGUUAAUCGGAUUUACUGGGUGUAAAGGGCGCGUAGGUGGUUGCGUAAGUGAGAUGUGAAAUCCCCGGGCUUAACCUGGGAACUGCAUCUUAUACUGCGUAGCUGGAGUGCAGUAGAGGGUAGUGGAAUUUCCGGUGUAGCGGUGAAAUGCGCAGAUAUCAGGAGGAACACCGGUGGCGAAGGCGGGUCUCUGGGCCGUAACUGACGCUGAGGAGCGAAAGCAUGGGGAGCGAACAGG